Molecule: ribosomal RNA, 1263 nt
Filed under: Camptophora schimae
Lineage: Eukaryota; Fungi; Ascomycota; Eurotiomycetes; Chaetothyriales; Chaetothyriaceae
Description: bacterial SSU rRNA
Rfam family: Eukaryotic small subunit ribosomal RNA
Source: RNAcentral
GUAAUUCUAGAGCUAAUACAUGCUAAAAAUCCCGACUUCGGAAGGGAUGUAUUUAUUAGAUAAAAAACCAAUGCCCUCCGGGGCUCCUUGGUGAAUCAUAAUAACUUAACGAAUCGCAUGGCCUUGCGCCGGCGAUGGUUCAUUCAAAUUUCUGCCCUAUCAACUUUCGAUGGUAGGAUAGUGGCCUACCAUGGUCUCAACGGGUAACGGGGAAUUAGGGUUCGACUCCGGAGAGGGAGCCUGAGAAACGGCUACCACAUCCAAGGAAGGCAGCAGGCGCGCAAAUUACCCAAUCCCGACACGGGGAGGUAGUGACAAUAAAUACUGAUACAGGGCUCUUUCGGGUCUUGUAAUUGGAAUGAGUACAAUCUAAAUCCCUUAACGAGGAACAAUUGGAGGGCAAGUCUGGUGCCAGCAGCCGCGGUAAUUCCAGCUCCAAUAGCGUAUAUUAAAGUUGUUGCCGUUAAAAAGCUCGUAGUUGAACUUUGGUCCUGGCUGAUCUGUCCUCCUAAUCGAGCGCACGGAUUCGGUCGGGACUUUCCUUCUGGGGAGCCCGAUGCCCUUUACUGGGCGUCGUGGGGAACCAGGACUUUUACCUUGAAAAAAUUAGAGUGUUCAAAGCAGGCCUUUGCUCGAAUACAUUAGCAUGGAAUAAUAGAAUAGGACAUCGGUUCUAUUUUGUUGGUUUCUAGGACCGCUGUAAUGAUUAAUAGGGAUAGUCGGGGGCGUCAGUAUUCAAUUGUCAGAGGUGAAAUUCUUGGAUUUAUUGAAGACUAACUACUGCGAAAGCAUUCGCCAAGGAUGUUUUCAUUAAUCAGUGAACGAAAGUUAGGGGAUCGAAGACGAUUUAAGAACGGUUCGAGGGGGUCCACGCCCCGGAGAACUGGUAUUUGGUUGUCAAAAGUGAGCUCUGUUUUACUCGCUAGUCACGGACCCCGGAGGUGCUCGACACCGCCGGGGGCGUGGCGACACUGUCAAAUUGCGGGAACCCCCUAAAGCCUGAACUACCAAGCCGGUCUCGAAAGAGGUCGGUGGCCCGGUUAACGACCCGGGGUACGGUGACAACGUUCAGGAUGCCACAAUGGGCAAUCCGCAGCCAAGUCCUACGGGCCGGCUUCUGCCGGUCACGGAUGCAGUUCACAGGCCAAAUGGUAGUGGGUGAGGCCGCUGGCAUCAGCGGUCUUGCUUAAGAUAUGGUCGAAGCCCCGCGCGAGAGCCGGGGAGGUACUUGCAGAUACCGUCGUAGUCUUAACCAUAAACUAU